This 253-nucleotide ribosomal RNA is filed under the name uncultured bacterium. RNAcentral describes it as "partial 16S ribosomal RNA". It matches the Rfam family "Bacterial small subunit ribosomal RNA", at positions 524 to 776 of the family's 1533-position model. The record is from RNAcentral.
UACGAAGGGUGCAAGCGUUAAUCGGAAUUACUGGGCGUAAAGGGCGCGUAGGCGGUCCCUCAAGUCAGGCGUGAAAGCCCCGGGCUCAACCUGGGAACCGCGCUUGAGACUGAUGGGCUAGAGUUCGGGAGAGGAUGGUGGAAUUCCCAGUGUAGAGGUGAAAUUCGUAGAUAUUGGGAAGAACACCGAUGGCGAAGGCAGCCAUCUGGACCGACACUGACGCUGAGGCGCGAAAGCGUGGGGAGCAAACAGG